RNAcentral lists this ribosomal RNA (251 nucleotides) under uncultured bacterium. RNAcentral describes it as "partial 16S ribosomal RNA". It matches the Rfam family "Bacterial small subunit ribosomal RNA", at positions 523 to 769 of the family's 1533-position model. The record is from RNAcentral.
AUACGUAGGUGGCGAGCGUUGUCCGGAUUUACUGGGCGUAAAGGGAGCGUAGGCGGAUUUUUAAGUGAGAUGUGAAAUACUCGGGCUUAACCUGAGUGAAAACUGCAUUUCAAACUGGAAGUCUAGAGUGCAGGAGAGGAGAAGGGAAUUCCUAGUGUAGCGGUGAAAUGCGUAGAGAUUAGGAAGAACACCAGUGGCGAAGGCGCUUCUCUGGACUGUAACUGACGCUGAGGCUCGAAAGCGUGGGGAGC